Long non-coding RNA from Mastomys coucha (southern multimammate mouse), 417 nucleotides. RefSeq lists it as uncharacterized. The record is from RefSeq and is a predicted model, not a curated record. The transcript has 3 exons. NCBI's taxonomy places the organism in Eukaryota, Metazoa, Chordata, Mammalia, Rodentia, Muridae.
UGAAUUUACACUUAAUAAAAUCAGCUCAGUAAUGCUAGUCAACUAAGCUACAUAGACAAUGAGAGGAAUAGCAUACAAUGUGUUCUGCUGAAAUUAAUACAUGUUUCUUAGAGUCUGCCAUCUGCACCCGGGAGCAGGAGGUGAGGCUGUUCCAGAGCCUGCUGUGCACGGGUCCCUAUUAGAAGAGAGCUAGUCUCCCAGAAGUGCUCAUACUCCCAGGCCAAGAGAGAAUUCCAGGUGAUUACCUUAUUCUCAACUUAUGAUAACACGUCAACCCUUUCUUCAGUAAAGGAGAUGUUUUGAGCAGAGAGCCACACAGACAUAACCUCAAGUCAUACAUACAGUAUUUCCAGGCUUGUCUGAGAAAUGUGGCAUGAUUCAUUCAUAUGCACGAUUAAAGAAGUGGUUUCCUCAAAA